ACGCUGGCGGCAGGCCUAACACAUGCAAGUCGAGCGGCAGCACGGGGAGCUUGCUCCCUGGUGGCGAGCGGCGGACGGGUGAGUAAUGCAUAGGAAUCUGCCCGGUAGUGGGGGAUAACGUGGGGAAACCCACGCUAAUACCGCAUACGUCCUACGGGAGAAAGCGGAGGAUCUUCGGACUUCGCGCUAUCGGAUGAGCCUAUGUCGGAUUAGCUAGUUGUAAGGUAACGGCUUACCAAGGCGACGAUCCGUACUGGUCUGAGAGGAUGAUCAGCCACACUGGGACUGAGACACGGCCCAGACUCCUACGGGAGGCAGCAGUGGGGAAUAUUGGACAAUGGGCGAAAGCCUGAUCCAGCCAUGCCGCGUGUGUGAAGAAGGCUUUCGGGUUGUAAAGCACUUUCAGCGAGGAAGAAAGCCUCUGGGUUAAUACCCCAGAGGAAAGACAUCACUCGCAGAAGAAGCACCGGCUAACUCCGUGCCAGCAGCCGCGGUAAUACGGAGGGUGCGAGCGUUAAUCGGAAUUACUGGGCGUAAAGCGCGCGUAGGUGGCUUGGCACGCCGGUUGUGAAAGCCCCGGGCUCAACCUGGGAACGGCAUCCGGAACGGCCAGGCUAGAGUGCAGGAGAGGAAGGUAGAAUUCCCGGUGUAGCGGUGAAAUGCGUAGAGAUCGGGAGGAAUACCAGUGGCGAAGGCGGCCUUCUGGCCUGACACUGACACUGAGGUGCGAAAGCGUGGGUAGCAAACACGGAGUUAGAUAUCCCUGGUAGUCCACGCCGUAAACGAUGUCGACUAGCCGUUGGGACUUAAGGACUUAGUGGCGCAGUUAACGCAUAAGUCGACCGCCUGGGGAGUACGGCCGCAAGGUAAAACUCAAAUGAAGUGACG
This 888-nucleotide ribosomal RNA is filed under the name uncultured bacterium. Its description in RNAcentral is "bacterial SSU rRNA". It matches the Rfam family "Bacterial small subunit ribosomal RNA", at positions 33 to 915 of the family's 1533-position model. The record is from RNAcentral.